Molecule: non-coding RNA, 517 nt
Organism: Pelobates cultripes (western spadefoot toad)
Lineage: Eukaryota; Metazoa; Chordata; Amphibia; Anura; Pelobatidae
Source: the annotation of a GenBank genome assembly
GCCUAAUCUAGGUGUUGUACUGUCGUCUGUUAUAUUUUACUUAAAAAAUUAGGCUGUUUUAGCUAGGAGAAACACUUAUUGAGUUUAUCACAGUAAUUGAAUGCUUCUAUAUGCCAUGCUCAGCCUCUCAUGUGACAAACUGUUAUCACUCCUUAUGCUUGUACUGUUAUAAAUUAUUGCCUCAAUAAUAAAAAGAGAAGGAAAAAAAUAAGUUUUAUAGAACAGACAAAUAAAGAUUUAAUUAGUACAUAUAAAAAUUCCAAUAAGGAUUUUUAUUGUUGUGGGAACUGUAUGGGAUGCAGAGGAAAGAAAAUCCAGUCCUUUUGCUCGAAUGUUAAUUUAAAAGAAGUUACAAUUAAAUAUUUUAUUACAUGUUAAUCUGAAAGUGUUGUGUAGGUGCUUGUGUCUAUGUGGCCUUCAAUAUGUGGGGAAGACAUCUAGAUGUCUGUCAACUAGGAUACACAAGUACAUAUACAACAUUAAAAGGGGUUUUAAAAAACAUAACUUUUCUCUGCAC